Molecule: ribosomal RNA, 253 nt
Filed under: uncultured bacterium
Lineage: Bacteria
Description: partial 16S ribosomal RNA
Rfam family: Bacterial small subunit ribosomal RNA
Source: RNAcentral
UACGGGGGGGGCAAGCGUUGUUCGGAAUUACUGGGCGUAAAGGGCUCGUAGGUGGCCAACUAAGUCAGACGUGAAAUCCCUCGGCUUAACCGGGGAACUGCGUCUGAUACUGGAUGGCUUGAGUUUGGGAGAGGGACGCGGAAUUCCAGGUGUAGCGGUGAAAUGCGUAGAGAUCGGGAGGAAGGCCGGUGGCGAAGGCGGCUCUCUGGAACGUCCCUGACGUUGAGGCGCGAAAGCGUGGGGAGCAAACAGG